GAUGAACGCUGGCGGUCUGCUUAACACAUGCAAGUCGAACGGAAUCUUCGGGAUUUAGUGGCGGACGGGUGAGUAACGCGUGAGGAUCUGCCUUCAGGACGGGGACAACAGUUGGAAACGACUGCUGAGACCCGAUGUGCCGAGAGGUGAAAUUAAUUUAGCCUGAAGAUGAACUCGCGUCGGAUUAGCUAGUUGGAGUGGUAACGGCACACCAAGGCGACGAUCCGUAGCUGGUCUGAGAGGAUGACCAGCCACACUGGGACUGAGACACGGCCCAGACUCCUACGGGAGGCAGCAGUGGGGAAUUUUCCGCAAUGGGCGAAAGCCUGACGGAGCAAGACCGCGUGGGGGAGGAAGGUCUGUGGAUUGUAAACCCCUUUUGUCAGGGAAGAAUCAAAUGACGGUACCUGACGAAUCAGCCUCGGCUAACUCCGUGCCAGCAGCCGCGGUAAUACGGAGGAGGCAAGCGUUAUCCGGAAUUAUUGGGCGUAAAGCGUCCGCAGGUGGUUAUACAAGUCUGCUGUCAAAGCGCGAGGCUCAACUUCGUACCGGCAGUGGAAACUGUAGGACUAGAGAAUGAUAGGGGCAGAGGGAAUUCCCAGUGUAGCGGUGAAAUGCGUAGAGAUUGGGAAGAACACCGGUGGCGAAAGCGCUCUGCUGGGUCAUAUCUGACACUGAGGGACGAAAGCUAGGGGAGCGAAAGGGAUUAGAUACCCCUGUAGUCCUAGCCGUAAACGAUGGACACUAGGCGUUGACCG
Molecule: ribosomal RNA, 758 nt
Filed under: uncultured cyanobacterium
Lineage: Bacteria; Bacillati; Cyanobacteriota
Description: bacterial SSU rRNA
Rfam family: Bacterial small subunit ribosomal RNA
Source: RNAcentral